CACGACUGCUGUGCGCUUAUGCGGUAUUAGCACCUAUUUCUAAGUGUUAUCCCCCUGUAUACGGUAGGUUGCCCACGCGUUACUCACCCGUCCGCCACUAAGAUACAUUUUCCUUCAGACGAAUCCUCAUUCCAAUAUAUCCCCGUUCGACUUGCAUGUGUUAGGCACGCCGCCAGCGUUCAUCCUGAGCCAGGAUCAAACUCU
Molecule: ribosomal RNA, 204 nt
Filed under: uncultured Eubacteriales bacterium
Lineage: Bacteria; Bacillati; Bacillota; Clostridia; Eubacteriales
Description: uncultured Clostridiales bacterium partial 16S ribosomal RNA
Source: RNAcentral